UAUUUUUAUUUUAAAAAUAUCAAAAUGACUGUCAAAUACUGUUCAAAGAAUAAUGUUCAUUCAGGGAAAAAAUUACUGCUCAUUGUCCUGUAGAUCUGAAACUCUAGAGGGAUACAUCAUCAAAAUUCCUAAGACCAACUCUUCCAUGUGCAUAUCACAUGCCAUAUUCUGAUCCACAAAAGUUUUUAUGGCUUGGCUUUCAUAAGACAACAGUUACCCAACAA
RNAcentral lists this long non-coding RNA (224 nucleotides) under Elaeis guineensis (African oil palm). RNAcentral's name for it is "long non-coding RNA (EGUI_LNC010583)". Lineage: Eukaryota; Viridiplantae; Streptophyta; Magnoliopsida; Arecales; Arecaceae. The record is from RNAcentral.